RNAcentral lists this ribosomal RNA (433 nucleotides) under uncultured bacterium. Its description in RNAcentral is "partial 16S ribosomal RNA". It matches the Rfam family "Bacterial small subunit ribosomal RNA", at positions 29 to 507 of the family's 1533-position model. The record is from RNAcentral.
AACGAACGCUGGCGGCAUGCCUAACACAUGCAAGUCGAACGAGACCUUCGGGUCUAGUGGCGCACGGGUGCGUAACGCGUGGGAACCUGCCCUUAGGUUCGGAAUAACUCAGAGGAAUUUGAGCUAAUACCGGAUAAUGUCUUCGGACCAAAGAUUUAUCGCCUUUGGAUGGGCCCGCGUAGGAUUAGCUUGUUGGUGGGGUAAUGGCCUACCAAGGCGACGAUCCUUAGCUGGUCUGAGAGGAUGAUCAGCCACACUGGGACUGAGACACGGCCCAGACUCCUACGGGAAGCAGCAGUGGGGAAUAUUGGACAAUGGGCGAAAGCCUGAUCCAGCAAUGCCGCGUGAGUGAUGAAGGCCUUAGGGUUGUAAAGCUCUUUUACCAGGGAUGAUAAUGACAGUACCUGGAGAAUAAGCUCCGGCUAACUCCGUG